UGAUUCCCUCUCAUUUUAUCUCUCUUAUUCGCCUUUGAAGUCACAGAUCUUCAUCUCCUUCGAAGUCACAAAUCUCCAUCUGGUUGCACUGAGCCAUGGUUGAUGGUGGUUGAUUUUUCGGAAGCCUCAGUUAGGUUUGACAUUGGUGGUUCAAUUUGGGUAUGUUCAAGAUUAUAUCCUAACAUUCGUUUGAUUGGAGACCAAGAUUUUAUCAAGGCUACAGAGGUGCAGCCAGCUGCAGUAAGGGAGGCCUGCAAGACAGGAUCAAUCGAAGCUUUCACAAUAUCGGGAUAGAAGAUUUACUGGAUCACUGGAGGAAUUUGAACAAGCACUCCUGGCAUCAACAACUGUUUAUAUUGUGAAUAUGUCAUUCUACACAAUAGAAGAGCAAGUUUAUGAGCUUUUUUCUCGUGCUGGAGGAUUAAGAGGAUAAUUAUGGGCUUGGAUAAAAAUACCAAAACGCCUUGUGGUUUUUGUUUUGUCCUGUAAGCUUCAUUCUUCAUAUUUUUAACUUCUUGAAAGGGAAACGGUUUAGUGGGAUUCGUUAAAGACAAUUUUAAUAUACUAGAAUCAUUUUGAAUAAUAGAAAUA
Long non-coding RNA from Prunus mume (Japanese apricot), 591 nucleotides. RefSeq lists it as uncharacterized. NCBI's taxonomy places the organism in Eukaryota, Viridiplantae, Streptophyta, Magnoliopsida, Rosales, Rosaceae. The record is from RefSeq and is a predicted model, not a curated record.